Oncorhynchus tshawytscha (Chinook salmon) is the source of this 354-nucleotide long non-coding RNA. Lineage: Eukaryota; Metazoa; Chordata; Actinopteri; Salmoniformes; Salmonidae. The record is from Ensembl.
CAACUGUAGAUGCUUCCAUAAACAAAACAGCAGCACCUACUACGUCAAUCUCAACUGCAGGUCCUACUACCAAUUUAACUCCAACGACAACCUCAACUGAAGCUCCAACAGACAUCACAACUAUCGCUCCUAUGCACCCCACAAUUGCAACUUCAAAUGUAGCAUCACCUACAACAACAACUGCAGAUGCUUCCACAACCAUAAGUGCAGCACCUACUACCUCAAUCCCAACUGCAGGUCCUACUACCAUUUUGACUCCUAAGACAAUCACAACUGAAGCUCCUACAGAAAUCACAACUGUAGCUCUUAUACCCCCCACAAUUGCAACUUCUACUUCAACAACUGUUGCUUCCA